UUUAUCAUCUCCAUAUGAGUAAUCUGUUAAUUAGAGAAAGCUUGCAUAAGAUAACCAACUAAAAACAGCAUUAAUUUGUGCACAUGUCCAUCAGUGUGUAAUCAACUGCAGUAUGCACAGCAGAAAAUACAAUGAAAAACUUAAACUGUUAGAGGAGCAUAUGAUGCAUUAAAAUUUCAUUGUUGGCAAAAAUAUUUUCAGAUUAGCAGGUCAAGAAAAAAAUCUCAUUCCCAGAUUAAGUGUAGCAUGGUGAAUGCCAGAACAGCAACACAAACAAAAAUUCAUACCAAGUAACGUGUGUGUGUGUGUGUG
Molecule: unclassified non-coding RNA, 312 nt
Filed under: Hevea brasiliensis (rubber tree)
Lineage: Eukaryota; Viridiplantae; Streptophyta; Magnoliopsida; Malpighiales; Euphorbiaceae
Source: RNAcentral